This is a long non-coding RNA of Halichondria panicea, 1393 nucleotides long. RefSeq lists it as uncharacterized. The transcript has 4 exons. NCBI's taxonomy places the organism in Eukaryota, Metazoa, Porifera, Demospongiae, Suberitida, Halichondriidae. The record is from RefSeq and is a predicted model, not a curated record.
GGAACCAAAAUCUAAUUAAUUUUAAAUUACUUUCAUUAUCAGCCCCUAGCAAAGAAAGAUGCGUAGCUAAGAAGCAGUAGCAGUUUUCUGCAGGCAACUUUGUUGCAAACUAGUCUAGAAUAGCUACUCUGCCAGGAUCUCUAAGUUUUGAACGGAGGAGUAUACCAGCCAAGGCCCCAGCGAAGGAUCAUUUCACAAAUAGCCUCUGAGUGUGUGAAAUAUACUGGAAGAGUAGCUUCGUGAGUUUAGAGCCUGUUUUUAGAGUGUAGUCUACAACGUUUGAUAUUCAAAUUAUUUUCUCUUUUUCAGCAUUCUCCUCUAGCAAAGAAAGAUGCAUAACUUGGAAACAGUGACAGUUUUCUUUAUUCAACUUCUUAGCAAAGUAGUCUACAGUAGUUACUGUGUCAGGAUCUCCUGGUUUCCAACCAAACAGUCAACCAGCCAAGGGCCAGAGCAAGGGAUCACUUCAGAGUGUGGCAAAGAAAGAUGCACCCCUUAGUAACAGUAACAGUUCUCUUCAAGCUACCUUGUAGUUCUAUCUGAACAGUCGAAGAGUCAACCAGCCAAGGACAGAGCGAGAGAUUACUUUAGAGGUCUGUGAAACAAUCGUCACUGCUAUCUGCCAUGGAACCACCACCAUCUUAUGGGUCUGAGAAGUCCUACUCACUGUCACUACUAUCCAAGAUACCCAGGAUACCUCAUCCCCUGUGUACAGAGGCCUCUUUGUUAUUGUUGUACCAUAGAAUUAAGUGUAAUUGUAUUUAUUAUAAUGUAUGUUCACUUUUGAGAUUGAUAUUGAAUUUAUAUAAAUACAAAUUUCACACGAAAUUUUAAGCAAAUUUUUGAUUGGUGACCUAUGGCGAUGGGACUUGGUAUGGCUUCUGUUGACCUUCGAGAGAAGCCUUGCAAAGAUGUGGAGCUCAGGAAGCUCAGUAGCCUCGAUUCCAGGCCGCUAAGAGAGGGCCUGGUAUCGACUGUUUGCGCAUGCGCCACCUAUUACCCAGAAAGUGGGUAAUUCGGAUACCAUUGUAUUUUGCUCAGUAAAACAAUGACGUCACAACGAACGGAAGUGGAUAGAAGUGUGAUUGUAGCCCGUGUGAUAGCAUUCUAAUAGCCACCCUUAGCCUACUAUGUUAACAAAGGACUCACAGCCUGCAACAGUGUGGAUAACAAUCCUCUGAACGGAGGGGAAGGCUGACAAUAGCCAUUAUGGAUAGGCCACGCCCAUCUGACACUAACCUUCGUGAAAGUCGACUCUAUCAGAAAGAAAUUGCUGCUGUAACCAAUACAGCUCUGUCUCUAGCUAGCUAGCUAUAUAGCUCUGUGUCUGACUUUAUGAAGAGUAUUCUUUGUCUGUAUAUGUUAUUCAGGAUAUAAUUCGGGUAAAAAUUCA